Molecule: non-coding RNA, 72 nt
Organism: Phrynosoma platyrhinos (Desert horned lizard)
Lineage: Eukaryota; Metazoa; Chordata; Lepidosauria; Squamata; Phrynosomatidae
Source: the annotation of a GenBank genome assembly
GCCCGCAUGGUGUAGUGGUUUGAACAUUGGACUAAUACCCUGGAGAUCAGGCUUUGAUUCCCAGUUUGGCCA